Long non-coding RNA from Microplitis mediator, 1636 nucleotides. RefSeq lists it as uncharacterized. The transcript has 3 exons. NCBI's taxonomy places the organism in Eukaryota, Metazoa, Arthropoda, Insecta, Hymenoptera, Braconidae. The record is from RefSeq and is a predicted model, not a curated record.
GUAAACUUUAAGUUUAAAUUUGAAUAGAGUCAACAAAACAAUCAUAAUUUAACCGGAAAUAAAUUGGACAAAAAUUUAUCUAAAUCAUUUAUCCCAUAAACUAUUCAGAUUGUCGACUAACAAUUUAAAAAAAAAUGAAGAGAUCUUAUUCGUCAAUGAAAGAACAUAAGGUUAUUUUCGAAUGGAAAAUAGAUCAAUUUAAUUCAUUCAUCGAUUCAUCACUCACGUGUACAGAUGACGUAAAAGUUGAUUCUGUUAAAUUUUCAACAGGUGCUAAAAUAAAUGAUUUCUGGUACUUGAGACUAAAAUUUAAAGAUAAUGAAGUUACGCAAGUCAAAGAAUGGCUGUCAGCAUUUUUGUGUUUAAAGCACAGCGAUACAGAAUCAGUAAGAGCAAUAUAUUCUAUACAUAUUUUGGAUAAGAAUAAUGAAAAAAAAGUAAGUAUUAAAAAAACAACUCGAGUAUUCAAACUUCAUGAGAGUUGGGGUUCUAAUAAAUUUCUGGAAAUAAAAAAGUUAGUGGAAAAUAAAGUCAAUUUAGUAGCAAAUGAUAUGAUGUCAUUAUGUGUGGAUCUCGUUGUACUUGAAGAUUAUACAUCAACUACAACGGAAGUUCCAUUAAAAAUUUUGAAGCCUAAAAUAACUGAUGAUUUUGAGAAGUUCUUUGAUAAAAAAAUAAAUGUCGAUGUAAUUUCAAUUGUUGGCGACGUAAAGUUUCAUGCGCAUAAGACAAUUUUAUCAGCACGACCCUGUUUAAAAAUAUUGAUUGAAAAAAAUUAAAAGUGAUGAAAUUCGAGUUCUUUUCAAUAAUUCCAAUUGAUUUAAAUUUUUUUGUUUGUAUAUAUAGAUAUACAGUUUGCAUGGAGCGACCGCUUCUCAAUCGUUUUCAAUCAAUAUUUUUAAUCAGGGGAAGUUCAGUACUUGCUUCAGUUUUCCACAGAAUGCAAGAAAGUAACAAUAAUAUAUUGAUGAUAAGUGAUGUAGCUCCUGAAAUAUUCCGAGAUAUGUUGAGAUUUAUUUACACUGAUAAAGUUAAUGAUUUGGACAGCAAAGCUGUAUCUCUAUUACAAGUUGCUGAUAGAUUUAAAUUACAAACACUGAAGAUAUCGUGUGAGGAAUUGCUUCGCGAAUCAUUGACCAAUGAAAAUGCAAUUAAAUUAUUAAUGUUAGCAGAUCAAUGUCAUGCAAAUCUACUGAUGGAGUACGUUGUCAAUUACAUCGUAAUAAAUAUCGAUAGUGUGAUGAAAAAUGGAGAUUACAAAACAUUAGAAAAUUCUAAACCGAUCUUAUUAUCGCUUUUACUUAAAAAAUUUUCCGAAUUAAUUAAAAAUAGAGGCUAAAACAUCUGAUGUACUAAAGCUCAACCGUACUCAAGUCAAUAGAAUUGAAAGUAAAAUUAAAUUUUGUUUUCUUUUUUUUUAACUAAUCUAGGAUUAUUUAAAUUUUUCUAGUAAUUUAUCAUGCAAUGAAAUGAAAUUUCGAGAUGAUUCUCAGACAAUACUCCUCACUUUUUAAAUAUAUUUAAUAACGAACUGUCAUGAAUAAAUUAAAUAAUUUAAAAAAAUUGAAGCGUUGAUUGAAAAAACGACGUUUUUUUCAAGAUAUUGAUUGCAAAUAAAUUACUUUAAUUUGGUAUC